RNAcentral lists this ribosomal RNA (372 nucleotides) under uncultured organism. Its description in RNAcentral is "partial 16S ribosomal RNA". It matches the Rfam family "Bacterial small subunit ribosomal RNA", at positions 527 to 896 of the family's 1533-position model. The record is from RNAcentral.
GUAGGUGGCAAGCGUUGUCCGGAAUUAUUGGGCGUAAAGCGCGCGCAGGCGGUUCUUUAAGUCUGAUGUGAAAGCCCACGGGCUCAACCGUGGAGGGUCAUUGGAAACUGGAGAACUUGAGUACAGAAGAGGAAAGCGGAAUUCCACGUGUAGCGGUGAAGUGCGUAGAGAUGUGGAGGAACACCAGUGGCGAAGGCGGCUUCCUGGUCUGUAACUGACGCUGAGGCGCGAAAGCGUGGGGAGCAAACAGGAUUAGAUACCCUGGUAGUCCACGCCGUAAACGAUGAGUGCUAAGUGUUAGGGGGUUUCCGCCCCUUAGUGCUGCAGCUAACGCAUUAAGCACUCCGCCUGGGGAGUACGGCCGCAAGGCUG